RNAcentral lists this long non-coding RNA (260 nucleotides) under Gallus gallus (chicken). The record is from RNAcentral. Lineage: Eukaryota; Metazoa; Chordata; Aves; Galliformes; Phasianidae.
GUUGUGGGAAGACAAAAGCACUGAUCAGAGUGACCACAAGCAGCAGGGACGUCAGGCUGCCAACAACUAGAUUGAUGAUCCUGUCCCUGGCCGAGGUCUCCCCGAACAGCGGGCGGUUGUCCGGCCCUCCCGUGCCGUAGCUCCGGGCGGCGAAGCCCUCCAUGGCGGGGGGGCGCUGGGGCUGCCCGGGGGGGGCGCGCCCUCAUGCUGCGCUCCGGACCCCGCACCGCUCCGCACCGCACCGCUGCGCUCCGCCGCCC